GUCAAGAUUCGGGGACAUUCGAUUAAAUUGGAACAAUACAAAGAAGAUUAGCAUGACCCUUAUGCAAUGACGACACACACAUGUCAAGAAAUGAUCCAAAUAUUA
Small nuclear RNA from Cucurbita pepo subsp. pepo (vegetable marrow), 105 nucleotides. The record is from RefSeq and is a predicted model, not a curated record. NCBI's taxonomy places the organism in Eukaryota, Viridiplantae, Streptophyta, Magnoliopsida, Cucurbitales, Cucurbitaceae.